This 84-nucleotide transfer RNA is filed under the name Flammeovirgaceae bacterium. Its description in RNAcentral is "tRNA-Leu". It matches the Rfam family "tRNA". From Rfam's summary of the family: Transfer RNA (tRNA) molecules are approximately 80 nucleotides in length. Their secondary structure includes four short double-helical elements and three loops (D, anti-codon, and T loops). Further hydrogen bonds mediate the characteristic L-shaped molecular structure. tRNAs have two regions of fundamental functional importance: the anti-codon, which is responsible for specific mRNA codon recognition, and the 3' end, to which the tRNAs corresponding amino acid is attached (by aminoacyl-tRNA synthetases). tRNAs cope with the degeneracy of the genetic code in two manners: having more than one tRNA (with a specific anti-codon) for a particular amino acid; and 'wobble' base-pairing, i.e. permitting non-standard base-pairing at the 3rd anti-codon position. RNAcentral also lists the same sequence under 3 other names. The record is from RNAcentral. Lineage: Bacteria; Pseudomonadati; Bacteroidota; Cytophagia; Cytophagales; Flammeovirgaceae.
GCCCGGGUGGUGGAAUUGGUAGACACGCAGGACUUAAAAUCCUGUGAUCGCAAGAUCGUAUGGGUUCAAGUCCCAUCCCGGGUA